This is a non-coding RNA of Hydra vulgaris (swiftwater hydra), 594 nucleotides long. The record is from RefSeq and is a predicted model, not a curated record. NCBI's taxonomy places the organism in Eukaryota, Metazoa, Cnidaria, Hydrozoa, Anthoathecata, Hydridae.
AAGAUAAAUUAUAUGAGAUCUUUAAUUUGUAUAUAAGAUAAUUUUAUUUUGUUCUAAUAUCUGUGUGAUGUUAGUUUAAAAUAUUAUUUUUUAAUAUAUUGAUUUUAUAUAUUAGGUAGGUGCCCAUUCUGUUCCUAGCUUCAGAAGUUAUUUAUACCUAUGCAAUACCUUCGCUCAGGUUAAAGAAUGGAAUACUAUUCUUGCAUCAAAUGUAUGUAAAAAUCUAGCUUUUAUAUAUUAACUUGUGAUCAGAGCAACUAGUAUGUUGGUUGGAUAUAUUACAUAUCCAUUCGAUGUUUAUCACCAGAAGUUAGUUCUACCUUUGCAGUACCUCUGCUUUACAUACCUCCUCGCUGAUUAAAGAAUGGAAUAUAAAUCUCAUAUCAAGUUGGUGUAAAAAUUUAGUUCAAUAAAUUAAGAAUUUAUAAACGUUCUCAAAAUUUUGAGUGGAGCAAUUGUUUUUCUGGUUUAGCAUGAGUAUGAAUCUGAUAUCAAUUGUAUGUACAAAGAUAGUUUACUUCUUAAAGAACCUAUCAGUAAACCAACUGAUUAUAAAACAGUUUUUAAUGGGAAUAAAAACAAAUUUUCAAAAGA